CGGAUUAUUAAUAACCCAGAAGGCUAGUGUCCCUAUAUUCAACAACAACUAAAACUAAGCAUUAAUCCUAAACUAGUUAGAGUUGAAUCAUUUUUUACCAUUCAGCUCUAUUUGAGGCCAAUUCUGCAGUGUCCAUGAAUAUAAUAUUUAGACAUUUUAGAGUAUCCCUAAACAUUAAGAACGAUAACAAAAACCCUGUCCAGAUUGCCAGACUGCAUUUGACCCAUAAAAUGCCAUUUAUCCUUGCACAAAAGCUUGUACCUCAGUAAAACACUGGGAAAAAAAUGUCUAAUUUUCCACUCUAUAUAGUCCGUCCUCUCGCCAAAUACAGCAAUAAUUUCUUCUAACAUCUUAAAAUGUAUGUGUGUGUGCACGCACAUAUGACUUAGCGAGAGACUGUGUGAUAAAGACAAACAACACAAUUUGGAUAUCGAACAAGAACUUACAUGAACAAGAGAAUCUAAGAA
This 467-nucleotide unclassified non-coding RNA is filed under the name Hevea brasiliensis (rubber tree). Lineage: Eukaryota; Viridiplantae; Streptophyta; Magnoliopsida; Malpighiales; Euphorbiaceae. The record is from RNAcentral.